Molecule: ribosomal RNA, 465 nt
Filed under: uncultured bacterium
Lineage: Bacteria
Description: partial 16S ribosomal RNA
Rfam family: Bacterial small subunit ribosomal RNA
Source: RNAcentral
CCUACGGGUAGCAGCAGUGGGGAAUAUUGCGCAAUGGGCGAAAGCCUGACGCAGCGACGCAGCGUGAGGGAUGAAGGUCUUCGGAUCGUAAACCUCUGUCAGCAGGGAAGAACGGUCACUGUGCUAAUCAGCAGUGAAUUGACGGUACCUGCAAAGGAAGCACCGGCUAACUCCGUGCCAGCAGCCGCGGUAAUACGGAGGGUGCGAGCGUUAAUCGGAAUUACUGGGCGUAAAGCGCUCGUAGGCGGUAUGUCAAGUCAAGGGUGAAAUCCCCGCGCUCAACGGGGGAACUGCCUUUGAAACUGGCAAACUGGAGUGUGUGAGAGGAGAGUGGAAUUCCAGGUGUAGGAGUGAAAUCCGUAGAUAUCUGGAGGAACAUCAGUGGCGAAGGCGACUAUCUGGAACAUAACUGACGCUGAGGAGCGAAAGCGUGGGUAGCAAACAGGAUUAGAUACCCUUGUAGUC